UCCAAAUCAAUUGAAAUGGGCUUAUAUUAACUCAAACAUCUCCAUCCAAUUAAUGAUCCCGAGGCCAGAAAAUCAACUAGCAUAACAGUUUGUUUCUGAACAGUGAACACAAUCCGCCACAGGGUCUGUAUAAUUUGGCUCCAGAAUCGCCCACUUCUGCCUUUGCAGUCAAAGGGAGUCGCAGAAGCUUCACAAUUCACAA
Molecule: unclassified non-coding RNA, 202 nt
Filed under: Hevea brasiliensis (rubber tree)
Lineage: Eukaryota; Viridiplantae; Streptophyta; Magnoliopsida; Malpighiales; Euphorbiaceae
Source: RNAcentral